Long non-coding RNA from Harmonia axyridis, 1911 nucleotides. RefSeq lists it as uncharacterized. NCBI's taxonomy places the organism in Eukaryota, Metazoa, Arthropoda, Insecta, Coleoptera, Coccinellidae. The transcript has 5 exons. The record is from RefSeq and is a predicted model, not a curated record.
CCCCCGCCCAACACUAUAUAGUUAAUUUGAUAUGAAAAAUCAUCUAUGAAAAUCAUUGAAAAUAAAAAAAUGUUUUCAAUACAUUCUUCUGAGGAUUCGGAUUUAUCAGAAAAAGUAGAAAAUAUAUUUGCUGCUCUGGCAAAAUGCCGGUUUGCCGACAUCUAGAGCGGGCCCUGGUUUCAUUACACAUUUUUUUUGUUUUGGUUUUCCUGAGAAAAAUUCCAUUCUUUUCAGUUUUUUAUAUAAAUACAUAUGCGCUUCUAAUAAUUAUACUCACAUUUUUUGAAUGAAUUCUGCAUAUUUUUCUUGUUAUUUCUAUUAUUCACUUUUUCACAUUGUAUAAAGAAUUAAUUAAAUUCAAUGGUUUUUCAAACUCACUUUUCAGUGUGGCAUUUGUAUGUAUAAAUUUGGGUACCAAGUAUCCAAUGAAUGUAUCCGAUACAUAAUACUUCAGUAUCGGAUACUCAGAAGUAUCCAAGUUGCACAUCCCUAUUUGAUACCCAUAACAAAUUUAAGCCUAAAUACUUACACGGACGGAGGUUCAGCCAGCAGUUUCAUCAGCACCGUCAUCAAUCAAACCUCUCUUCGCCGGUAAAGACCUUGGCGAGUCAUCGAGGUUCAUAUGCCCAAAAGAGGUGGUGAGUGCCAAAAUUUCCUCCUCUUUGAUUUUUUGGCGUCUUGCCUGGAGCACCUUCCUCAAAUUUAGAGGUUGACACUGCACUCGCUGUCGCCAUUCCAUCAUGUUGGACCUUAUCGUAAUCCAUUGGGAUUUCUUAGAAUUCUGACCUUGAAUCGACAUGGUUCCUGCAAUCCCACGAAAAAUUUCGCUCGUAGUCGCCAUGCAAGCAUCCUGGUUCAUUGGAUUUUCUUGCAAUUCUCACCUGGAUUUGACAUGGUUCCUACAAUCCCACCAAAGUUUGUGUGUUUAAGAGAUACCUAGAACGAGCUUUUGAAAACUUACAGUGCAACCCAGGGGAUCUUACUUGAGGGUGUCCGGGUCCGACUUUGCGCAGCUCUCCGAGCAAUAUUUUUUUUUGCCCACCUUCCUUGUGAAGUCGAGGGCUCCGCAAGUCUUGCAACUAAAGUUGCUGUCAUCCCUCCACAUCGAUAUUAAUGUGGGCUUUUUGCCUGUGAAAAAUUAUAGGAGGCUCAUCAGUCUCUUCAGCACCGUCAUCAAUCAAACCUCUCUUCGCCGGUGAAGACCUUGGCGAGUCAUUGAGGUUCAUAUGCCUAAAAGAGGUGGUGAGUGCCAAAAUUUCCUCCUCUUUGAUUUUUUGGCGUCUUGCCUGGAGCACCUUCCUCAAAUUCAGAGGUUGGCACUGCACUCUCUGUCGCCAUUCUAUCAUGUUGGACCUUAUCGUGUUCCAUUGGGAAUGCUCACCUUGAAUCGACAUGGUUCCUGCAAUCCCACGAAAAAUUGUGUGUUUAAGAGGUACUUUAGCACAGAAUUUUUCUCCAGAGUGUCGAGGUCGUUCAAAUCGUGAUGUGGUUAAGACAAGCUCAAGACAAGAAUUGACUGUAUUGCAAAUAAAGGGGCAAUAGAUAGGUUAUUUUGGCCGCAACAUUGAGGCAGCCAAAGCAUCAACCAAAAUCUAUAUUAUAUAAAAGGGGAUCCAAUGGAUAAGGGCAUCACGUUCAAAACACUGCAGCAAAUUGGAAAAUUUUUUCUUGUUGUGUUCAUUACUGUCAUGAGAAGGUUUAUACAAUAACAUAUUUUCGAAAAAAUUGUACGGAAAAGAAAUUCCUCCUACCGAGCGAAUUAGACCUCUCGAAGGAUGUAUUUCGCGUUGCCUUCGAGAAACCUGGACAACUAUGAAUUCGAUCAUUUAUUUUCGCAAUAAAGAGAAUUAAGUAUUCCUUAAUGCUCUUGCAUUAUAUCAAUGAUCCUUAUAAUAAAAUAUAAGAAAGACU